This 1358-nucleotide ribosomal RNA is filed under the name Promicromonospora sp. smRA194. Its description in RNAcentral is "bacterial SSU rRNA". It matches the Rfam family "Bacterial small subunit ribosomal RNA", at positions 55 to 1427 of the family's 1533-position model. The record is from RNAcentral. Lineage: Bacteria; Bacillati; Actinomycetota; Actinomycetes; Micrococcales; Promicromonosporaceae.
AUGCAAGUCGAACGGUGAAGCCCUUUCGGGGGUGGAUCAGUGGCGAACGGGUGAGUAACACGUGAGCAACCUGCCCCCUACUUCGGGAUAAGCCUUGGAAACGGGGUCUAAUACCGGAUAUGAGCGCCUGCCGCAUGGUGGGUGUUGGAAAGUUUUUCGGUGGGGGAUGGGCUCGCGGCCUAUCAGCUUGUUGGUGGGGUAAUGGCCUACCAAGGCGUCGACGGGUAGCCGGCCUGAGAGGGCGACCGGCCACACUGGGACUGAGACACGGCCCAGACUCCUACGGGAGGCAGCAGUGGGGAAUAUUGCACAAUGGGCGAAAGCCUGAUGCAGCGACGCCACGUGAGGGAUGACGGCCUUCGGGUUGUAAACCUCUUUCAGCAGGGAAGAAGCGUAAGUGACGGUACCUGCAGAAGAAGCGCCGGCUAACUACGUGCCAGCAGCCGCGGUAAUACGUAGGGCGCAAGCGUUGUCCGGAAUUAUUGGGCGUAAAGAGCUCGUAGGCGGUCUGUCGCGUCUGGUGUGAAAUCCCAUGGCUCAACUGUGGGCUUGCAUCGGGUACGGGCAGACUAGAGUGCUGUAGGGGAGACUGGAAUUCCUGGUGUAGCGGUGGAAUGCGCAGAUAUCAGGAGGAACACCGAUGGCGAAGGCAGGUCUCUGGGCAGUUACUGACGCUGAGGAGCGAAAGCAUGGGGAGCGAACAGGAUUAGAUACCCUGGUAGUCCAUGCCGUAAACGUUGGGCACUAGGUGUGGGGCCAGUUCCACUGGUUCUGUGCCGCAGCUAACGCAUUAAGUGCCCCGCCUGGGGAGUACGGCCGCAAGGCUAAAACUCAAAGGAAUUGACGGGGGCCCGCACAAGCGGCGGAGCAUGCGGAUUAAUUCGAUGCAACGCGAAGAACCUUACCAAGGCUUGACAUGUACGAGAAAGCCCCAGAGAUGGGGUUCUCUUUGGACACUCGUACACAGGUGGUGCAUGGUUGUCGUCAGCUCGUGUCGUGAGAUGUUGGGUUAAGUCCCGCAACGAGCGCAACCCUUAUCCUAUGUUGCCAGCGGGUUAUGCCGGGGACUCAUGGGAGACUGCCGGGGUCAACUCGGAGGAAGGUGGGGAUGACGUCAAAUCAUCAUGCCCCUUAUGUCUUGGGCUUCACGCAUGCUACAAUGGCCGGUACAGAGGGCUGCGAUACCGUGAGGUGGAGCGAAUCCCAAAAAGCCGGUCUCAGUUCGGAUCGGGGUCUGCAACUCGACCCCGUGAAGUCGGAGUCGCUAGUAAUCGCAGAUCAGCAACGCUGCGGUGAAUACGUUCCCGGGCCUUGUACACACCGCCCGUCAAGUCACGAAAGUUGGUAACACCCGAAGC